Molecule: transfer RNA, 73 nt
Filed under: Limnoglobus roseus
Lineage: Bacteria; Pseudomonadati; Planctomycetota; Planctomycetia; Gemmatales; Gemmataceae
Rfam family: tRNA
About the family: Transfer RNA (tRNA) molecules are approximately 80 nucleotides in length.
Source: Rfam by way of RNAcentral
GGCUCGGUGGCGCAACGGUAGACGCAGCGGCCUUAAAAGUCGUGUGUUGCGGGUUCAAAUCCCGCCCGGGCUA